RNAcentral lists this ribosomal RNA (511 nucleotides) under uncultured bacterium. RNAcentral describes it as "bacterial SSU rRNA". It matches the Rfam family "Bacterial small subunit ribosomal RNA", at positions 28 to 528 of the family's 1533-position model. The record is from RNAcentral.
GACGAACGCUGGCGGCGUGGAUUAGGCAUGCAAGUCGAACGGUAUCAUCCUUUCGGGGGUGAGAGAGUGGCGAACUGGUGAGUAACACGUAGGUUAUCUACCCUCAAGACGGGGACAACCCAGGGAAACUUGGGCUAAUACCGGAUGUGAGCAACUUUUAGUUGUUUGAAAGGUGGCGUAAGCUGUCGCUUGGGGAUGAGCCUGCGUCCUAUUAGUUAGUUGGUGAGGUAACGGCUCACCUAGGCAAUGAUAGGUAGGCGGCCUUAACGGGUGGUCGCCCACACUGGGAUUGAGAUACGGCCCAGACUCCUACGGGAGGCAGCAGUCGAGAAUAGUCUACAAUGGUCGGAAGACUGAUAGUGCGACGCCGCGUGAACGAUGAAUCCCUUCGGGGUGUAAAGUUCUUUUAUAUGUGAGCAGUGCUUCUUAUAUUAACAGUAGUGGGGAGAGAAGAUAUUAGCAUAUGAAUAAGCAACGGCUAACUCCGUGCCAGCAGCCGCGGUAAACUCGU